This 1409-nucleotide long non-coding RNA is filed under the name Carassius auratus (goldfish). Its description in RNAcentral is "lncRNA (ENSCARG00000068115.1)". The record is from RNAcentral. Lineage: Eukaryota; Metazoa; Chordata; Actinopteri; Cypriniformes; Cyprinidae.
AAAAAUGUUUAGCUUUUGCAUCACCAGGACUAAAUGCAAUGAAAGUGAGACAUUUUAAACUGUGGCUUAAGAGUCCAAAUGAAUUAUGAAGACACUCUAUGCACUACUGUUUAAAAAUGUAGGGUCAGUGAGAAUUUUUUUUUUUUCACAAAAAUUAUCUGAUGCUCACCAUAUGCAAGGCUGAGCAGAAAUCCAGUGAAAGUAUCAUUGCUUCAGUCUUCAGUCACACAAUCCUUCAGAAAUCAUUCUAUUCUAUAAUUGAAUGCACCCUUGCUUAAUUUAAGCAGUGAUUUCUUAUGUAUUGUUGUAUUCUGGAUCAAUCAAGUGUACGUCAUUGUUUCCUACCAAUGUUUAUCUUGAACUACUGAAACCCACAGCUGUUCCUCUUAUUCUGCUCUUGUCCUACACGCUGCUGACAGCAAGAGAAUGAGUGCUGAGAAAUUACUUAUUCCCCAGAUGUUUGGUGAUACCAGUCAGAAAAGGGAUUUUGGUGCACAGUAUUUAUAAAACCCCACACUAGGGGAAAUAUAGCAGGUGUAAGAGAAGGCGAAUAUAAAAUAAAGGAUGUGACUGCAGACGUGCAAGAAACCACAAGAUGCAUUAUACGAAACUAAUAUAUUCAAUGUUAUUCACCACCUCAAAAUAUAGCAUCACUUUUUCAUUUCUCAAAAAUAGUGUCUUUAAUUUGGGUGUUUAUUUUAUAUAAUGUUACAUAUAGAUUUCAAAAUCUAAAUAAUUCGUAAAAAAUUUAAUUCAGAAAGCAGUACAUUGGUCUGAAUAAGAAAAUAGCUUAAUAUGAUAGCUAAACAAAACUUCUUAGUUACUAGUAACAAAUACUAUGUGCGUGUAUGCUUCUUUCUGUAUUAUUGCAGUUAUUUCUGAAGCAGUGUAAAAAUAUUUGAAAAUGUACAGUUUGUGAAUUGGUUUUAAUAAAUAAAUGCCCCUUUUCACUAUACACAAACACAAUAUUAUGUCUGCUUGUUGAUGGUGUAAAUGUUACUGUGUUCUGUCGAUGUGCUGUCCUUCCUCUUUCUUAGAAUCUCCCCGCUUUUCAUCUCUGCUUUCAUCUUGAGUUCUUAUAUAGCGUUUAAUUUUAACCAGGAACUACCCAACAGUCACCUCUUCCUCCGCAAACCACAAAACCAACAUGGUGUGCGUCAUGGCUUCACACUAAAUGAGCUAUUGACCUUUUGUACAUCUUCUUUGGAGGCCUAGAAAGGGAUGGUAAGUUUCCAUAGUUAACUUCUUCAGUUUCACUUCAAAUUUAAUUCAGUAUACCUCCACAACCCCAAGCACCAAGCCUCUCUUUUAUUUCUCUCUCCAGUUGUUCAUGUGCAUUACUAAAGACUUCUAGGUCAUGUGUGUAUUUAGGUCAGCAAAUUUUCAUAAUUUUUUAAGUUCAAAAGAAU